UUUUGAUAGUAAUUAAUUGGGAAGACGGAUUUCAAAUUGACAUAUCCUUUACACAAACGUGAAUGACAACGAUGAUAGUGUCACCACCAAACAAUCGGACAUUCCCGAUUUUUGCCUCUCACUGACAGCAUCCAAAAUUUGCAAUAAGAUGUCAUGGGUGCAAAGGUUUUGUUCGCAAACUCCAUAGUAGGGCAGAUCACUCCUUUUCUGGUUGCAACGCAGAUUAUUCCACCAGACUCUGCAAGCCCAUGUUUACAGACAAGCAAGAUCGCCUUUGUAGUCGUACCUAAAUGCAUGUGCUUUAAUUUAAAUUUUGAUAUAUAGACCAGCCAAUGUUUAUUGUAUGGUGUAAAAGGAUG
Molecule: long non-coding RNA, 359 nt
Organism: Ostrea edulis (European flat oyster)
Lineage: Eukaryota; Metazoa; Mollusca; Bivalvia; Ostreida; Ostreidae
Exons: 2
Source: RefSeq, a predicted model, not a curated record